UACAGAGGUCUCAAGCGUUGUUCGGAUUCAUUGGGCGUAAAGGGCGCGUAGGCUGCGGGGCAAGUCGGGUGUGAAAUCUCGGAGCUUAACUCCGAAACUGCAUUCGAUACUGCCGUGCUUGAGGACUGGAGAGGAGACUGGAAUUUACGGUGUAGCGGUGAAAUGCGUAGAUAUCGUAAGGAAGACCAGUGGCGAAGGCGGGUCUCUGGACAGUUCCUGACGCUGAGACGCGAAAGCUAGGGGAGCGAACAGG
This 253-nucleotide ribosomal RNA is filed under the name uncultured bacterium. RNAcentral's name for it is "partial 16S ribosomal RNA". It matches the Rfam family "Bacterial small subunit ribosomal RNA", at positions 524 to 776 of the family's 1533-position model. The record is from RNAcentral.